This is an RNA transcript of Argentina anserina (silverweed cinquefoil), 1855 nucleotides long. RefSeq lists it as uncharacterized. The record is from RefSeq and is a predicted model, not a curated record. The transcript is spliced from 13 exons. NCBI's taxonomy places the organism in Eukaryota, Viridiplantae, Streptophyta, Magnoliopsida, Rosales, Rosaceae.
CGGGUGCACCCGUGUUUGGUACACCCACCUUCAAAUCAAAACACCUACUAUACUCUCUUCCUUUGUUAUUCUCCUCUUCGCGAUUCAAUUCAACUUCUACAUGGCGACGCAGCACAAGCUCGCCGUGAUCAUCGAUCACCCUCAAAAUGACGCCGCAUUUCUCCUCGUCAAGCAGACGCGCCCUCCCAGAUUCGACGACGACCAGUACGACUCUUUCCCCGAUUCCGACCUCUUUGACUUGCCCUCCGCGCAAUUCAACCUUGUAGAACCUCCAUCCCACUCCUCAAUCGCAGUUCACGCCGCACAGCCCUGGUCGGAGAUGAUAGAUUUGACCAAAUUUGACCUCGAUUCCGCUCUCAAUCAGGUUUUGGAGCAAGUAGGGUUCAAGGCAGCUGAUGCUGGAGACUGGAGGCUGUGGAAGUACGUGGAGGAAGCUCAAUUUGGGCCUGGGCCGCCCAUCAAUUCGGUUUUCGUUAGGGCAAAAUCGAUAGCCGAUCAUCAGAAUUUACAAGAGACGUGUAAGUGGAUGUCUGUUGAAAGCUGUCUAAGCUGGCUUCAGGAAGCGAAACCGAGGAGUGAGCGUGUGGGGCCUUUGAUAGUUGCUGGCCUUAUAGAUGAAUUUGCGCAAACAAGAGAAUUGAAGAUUCCAUCGAGCUUACCUUAUCAGGAGUACCCUCCUGGUGUUGUGCUUGUACCUAUGGGAAGCAGGACGGGAAAACCUUUCCGUACGACAAACUUGGUUGUUUUUGCACCUAAAAAUGUUCCAAAUGAUUGUGGAAAGGAUGGUUUUAUCGCAUGCGGAGAUGCAUUGAUAGUGGAUCCUGGGUGUCGGUCUGAAUUCCAUGAAGAGCUCAGACAAAUUGUAGCUGCUUUGCCAAGAAAAUUAAUAGUCUUUGUUACUCAUCACCAUCACGAUCAUGUGGACGGACUUUCAGUUAUUCAACGUUGCAAUCCUGAGGCUACAUUAUUAGCACAUGAAAAUACUAUGCGACGCAUUGGAAAAGAUGACUGGUCUCUUGGCUUUACCUCAAUUUCUGGAAACGAAGAGAUUUGCAUUGGUGGUCAGCGAUUGUCUGCCAUUUUCUCUCCGGGACAUACAGAUGGCCAUAUGGGACUGCUUCAUGCUGGUACUCAUUCAUUGAUUGUAGGUGAUCAUUGCGUGGGUCAAGGUAGUGCUAUACUGGAUGUUACUUUCGGCGGAAAUAUGACUGAUUACUUUCAAUCAACGUUUAAAUUUAUGGAGAUUUCCCCACAUGCUCUGAUCCCCAUGCACGGGAGAGUUAAUCUAUGGCCAAAGCACAUGCUUUGUGGAUAUCUCAAGAACCGCAGAGGUAGAGAAAGUUCCAUCUUGAAAGCGAUAGAAAAUGGAGCAGAAACAUUAUUUGACAUAGUUGCAAAUGUAUAUUCUGAGGUUGACCAGAGCUUUUGGGUUCCUGCUUCAUCAAAUGUGAGACUUCACGUGGAUCACCUAGCCGAGCAAGAUAAGUUGCCAAAGGGAUUUUCUUUAGAAACUUUCUAUCGCAGCUCAGUUGCAUUUUCUGAGAAGGUCGGUAAAUUAUGAGCCCAAAUGAGGAAGCUGCUGUCUCUCUGGUCCCCUUACAAACUACCUUUAGGCAUUUUCGAUUCAGAAGUUCCAGAAAACUUGUAGAUUGCAUUUCGUCUCUCGAUGGAUGUGGGCUUACCUCAGUAACAGCGUCCUCAUAAACUGUUCAAAGCCAAGAAUACCUCGUCUUCUUGUUGCCGGAGUUGUAGCUAGCUCUGCUGUGUUGUACAUGUUUAAAAGACGGGAUUAGUUCCAUGUAAGAUCCUCUUUUGAAAUAUCUCAAGUAAUUGCCAUAAACUGGCCAUAAUAAUG